GGGAAUCUUCGGAUUCUAGUGGCGGACGGGUGAGUAACGCGUAAGAAUCUAACUUCAGGACGGGGACAACAGUUGGAAACGACUGCUAAUACCCGAUAUGCCGCAAGGUGAAACCUAAUUGGCCUGGAGAAGAGCUUGCGUCUGAUUAGCUAGUUGGUGGGGUAAGAGCCUACCAAGGCGACGAUCAGUAGCUGGUCUGAGAGGAUGAGCAGCCACACUGGGACUGAGACACGGCCCAGACUCCUACGGGAGGCAGCAGUGGGGAAUUUUCCGCAAUGGGCGAAAGCCUGACGGAGCAACGCCGCGUGAGGGAGGAAGGUCUUUGGAUUGUAAACCUCUUUUCUCAAGGAAGAAGUUCUGACGGUACUUGAGGAAUCAGCCUCGGCUAACUCCGUGCCAGCAGCCGCGGUAAUACGGGGGAGGCAAGCGUUAUCCGGAAUUAUUGGGCGUAAAGCGUCCGCAGGUGGUCAGCCAAGUCUGCCGUCAAAUCAGGUUGCUUAACGACCUAAAGGCGGUGGAAACUGGCAGACUAGAGAGCAGUAGGGGUAGCAGGAAUUCCCAGUGUAGCGGUGAAAUGCGUAGAGAUUGGGAAGAACAUCGGUGGCGAAAGCGUGCUACUGGGCUGUAUCUGACACUCAGGGACGAAAGCUAGGGGAGCGAAAGGGAUUAGAUACCCCUGUAGUCCUAGCCGUAAACGAUGGAUACUAGGCGUGGCUUGUAUCGACCCGAGCCGUGCCGAAGCUAACGCGUUAAGUAUCCCGCCUGGGGAGUACGCACGCAAGUGUGAAACUCAAAGGAAUUGACGGGGGCCCGCACAAGCGGUGGAGUAUGUGGUUUAAUUCGAUGCAACGCGAAGAACCUUACCAAGACUUGACAUGUCGCGAACCCUGGNGAAAGCUGGGGGUGCCUUCGGGAGCGCGAACACAGGUGGUG
RNAcentral lists this ribosomal RNA (933 nucleotides) under uncultured bacterium. Its description in RNAcentral is "bacterial SSU rRNA". It matches the Rfam family "Bacterial small subunit ribosomal RNA", at positions 68 to 1043 of the family's 1533-position model. The record is from RNAcentral.